RNAcentral lists this unclassified non-coding RNA (282 nucleotides) under Vibrio parahaemolyticus. Lineage: Bacteria; Pseudomonadati; Pseudomonadota; Gammaproteobacteria; Vibrionales; Vibrionaceae. The record is from RNAcentral.
CCUUAUACGAUGAUUAUUCACGAUGAGUGUCCACACAGAUUGAUAGUUCACAAGCGCAAGCUUGUAGCUAACAUAGCUCUUUAACAAUUUGGAAAGCUGACAAAACAACAAUUUAUUGUUGUUUGUAAAGUUCUCAAUGUUUGUCUUUAAGACAAACACCAAAAUAACACAUUCAAGUGUUCUUGGAAUUUGAGUCCGGCAAAAUCGAGUCUGCAUCAUGUAUAAAAAUUGCAGACAACUUUGGUGACUUGUUCAUCAACUCGAAACUCCUUCGGGUUGUAU